This 700-nucleotide ribosomal RNA is filed under the name uncultured beta proteobacterium. Its description in RNAcentral is "bacterial SSU rRNA". It matches the Rfam family "Bacterial small subunit ribosomal RNA", at positions 83 to 779 of the family's 1533-position model. Lineage: Bacteria; Pseudomonadati; Pseudomonadota; Betaproteobacteria. The record is from RNAcentral.
GUCUGGCGGCGAGUGGCGAACGGGUGAGUAAUGUAUCGGAACGUGCCCAGUAGCGGGGGAUAACUACUCGAAAGAGUAGCUAAUACCGCAUACGCCCUACGGGGGAAAGGGGGGGAUCGCAAGACCUCUCACUAUUGGAGCGGCCGAUAUCGGAUUAGCUAGUUGGUGAGGUAAAGGCUCACCAAGGCGACGAUCCGUAGCUGGUUUGAGAGGACGACCAGCCACACUGGGACUAAGACACGGCCCAGACUCCUACGGGAGGCAGCAGUGGGGAAUUUUGGACAAUGGGGGCAACCCUGAUCCAGCCAUCCCGCGUGUGCGAUGAAGGCCUUCGGGUUGCAAAGCACUUUUGGCAGGAAAGAAAUCGCAUGGAUUAAUACUCUGUGUGGAUGACGGUACCUGCAGAAUAAGCACCGGCUAACUACGUGCCAGCAGCCGCGGUAAUACGUAGGGUGCAAGCGUUAAUCGGAAUUACUGGGCGUAAAGUGUGCGCAGGCGGUUCGGAAAGAAAGAUGUGAAAUCCCAGGGCUUAACCUUGGAACUGCAUUUUUAACUCCCGAGCUAGAGUGUGUCAGAGGGGGGUGGAAUUCCGCGUGUAGCAGUGAAAUGCGUAGAUAUGCGGAGGAACACCGAUGGCGAAGGCAGCCCCCUGGGGUGACACUGACGCUCAUGCACGAAAGCGUGGGGAGCAAACAGGAUU